AGUGAACGCUGGCGGUAGGCCUAACACAUGCAAGUCGAACGGCAGCACAGGAGAGCUUGCUCUCUGGGUGGCGAGUGGCGGACGGGUGAGGAAUACAUCGGAAUCUACUUUUUCGUGGGGGAUAACGUAGGGAAACUUACGCUAAUACCGCAUACGACCUACGGGUGAAAGCAGGGGACCUUCGGGCCUUGCGCGAUUGAAUGAGCCGAUGUCGGAUUAGCUAGUUGGCGGGGUAAAGGCCCACCAAGGCGACGAUCCGUAGCUGGUCUGAGAGGAGGAUCAGCCACACUGGAAGUGAGCCACGGUCCAGACUCCUACGGGAGGCAGCAGUGGGGGAUAUUGGACAAUGGGCGCAAGCCUGAUCCAGCCAUACCGCGUGGGUGAAGAAGGCCUUCGGGUUGUAAAGCCCUUUUGUUGGGAAAGAAAUCCAGCUGGCUAAUACCCGGUUGGGGUGACGGUACCCAAAGAAUAAGCACCGGCUAACUUCGUGCCAGCCGCCGCAGUAA
This 506-nucleotide ribosomal RNA is filed under the name uncultured bacterium. Its description in RNAcentral is "partial 16S ribosomal RNA". It matches the Rfam family "Bacterial small subunit ribosomal RNA", at positions 29 to 523 of the family's 1533-position model. The record is from RNAcentral.